This 253-nucleotide ribosomal RNA is filed under the name uncultured bacterium. RNAcentral describes it as "partial 16S ribosomal RNA". It matches the Rfam family "Bacterial small subunit ribosomal RNA", at positions 524 to 776 of the family's 1533-position model. The record is from RNAcentral.
GACAGAGGGGGCAAGCGUUGCUCGGAAUCACUGGGCGUAAAGGGCGCGUAGGCGGGAUGGCAAGUCGGUCGUGAAAUCCCUGGGCUCAACUCAGGGGGGUCGGCCGAUACUGCCGUUCUUGAGGGAUGCAGAGGAGACUGGAAUUCCCGGUGUAGCGGUGAAAUGCGCAGAUAUCAGGAGGAACACCGGUGGCGAAGGCGACUACCUGGACCAGCACUGACACUGAGGCACGAAAGCGUGGGGAGCAAACAGG